GCCAGACAUAGUGGCUUGUGCCUGUAAUCCCAGCUACUCUGGAGGCUGAGGUAGGAGGAGUGCAAGCUCCAAACUAGCCAAGCUCAU
RNAcentral lists this small RNA (87 nucleotides) under Marmota monax (woodchuck). The record is from RNAcentral. Lineage: Eukaryota; Metazoa; Chordata; Mammalia; Rodentia; Sciuridae.